RNAcentral lists this unclassified non-coding RNA (1635 nucleotides) under Hevea brasiliensis (rubber tree). The record is from RNAcentral. Lineage: Eukaryota; Viridiplantae; Streptophyta; Magnoliopsida; Malpighiales; Euphorbiaceae.
UAAGAUGGUUUGGUCAUGUUCAAUGUAGAAAAUCUAAUGAUAUUGAUGCAGAACUAGUCUCAAUAAAGCUAAAUGGCGAAAAUGAUCCAUAUUGUUUGGGAUUAAGGCUUAAUUGUUCUUUUCUUUUUGUUAUCGUUGUUGAUGUAGAUUUCACAAUUAUUUUCCAAUUUUUGGUUAUCAAAGAAUCAUUUAUUUAAAGCCCAUGGUUUGUAGAAUCAACAGCAUCAUUUAUUGUUCAGCAUUUUUAUGUAGUAGAGCAACUAAACUUUACCAAAUUCAAAUCUCUCUUGUACUGCUAAAUAAGAUCAGAAAGGUAAAAAAGAUGUAGUAAUGCCCAAUCAAUCACUGAAUCACAAGUUUCGUAAGCAAUAAGAUUGAUAUGUUUCUAACUUAAGCUCAACCAUCUCUAGUAAUUUUUUUUCCUGAUUGCCACCUUUUAAGUCUGCUUGUUAACAUGAGAUAUUUUUGUCCAAUUGUUUUAAUUGUGAAUUGUCACAACCUAAGUCAAAAUAGUGAAAUGCAUGAGGGAGGCUCUUUCUAAUACAGAUUCACCUCUUUGAAUGAGUAGUUUUUUCUGUGUGAGAGAAGCACCCAAAGAGUUGCUAGGCCAUCUAAAAGGCAUGUUUGUAUCACUUAAUUGCUUUGUGUUGCCUGAUCUGGACAAUUGGAAUAUUAUCUGAUUUUUGUUUAUGCCAGACAAGUUAUAAAUAUCCCUUUAUUUCACAGUCACUGAACAGAAAGUAAGAUCUAUUAUAUUACAUGCUAUGUUAUCAUUACAUCUUUGUGUUAUCAAGAAUCAUCAAAAUGCUUGGCUGAUUUUCGUAUUUGCUGACAAAUGACUGUGCAAUCAAAUGUUGAGGAAAAAACAGAUGAUGUUAAAGGAAGGAAAAAGAGAAUAUUUUCAUUAUGCAGUCUGCUAUAUCCAAAAACUUUUGAUUGUUACUGCAGGAAGACCAUGGGGUUUAGUCAAGAGUAAGGUUCGUAAGGACUAUCCUUCUGUUCAAUUGACGGCCUGGAAGGUGCAGAAAUAUGAACCAUUUUCUUCUUAUUAUUAAUUUUUUCUAUUUUGCCUGGUUUAAAUGACAAAAUGCAACAUUAAGCUGUUGUCUGAAUUGGCAACUCUAAAAUUAGGAUGCUUAUUACUUGCAGUUCUGGCCUAUAGUCAGUUGGGUGAAUCACCAGUAUAUGCCAUUGCAGUUUCGUGUUCUAUUUCAAAGCUUUGUUGCUUCAUGCUGGUGCGGUCUCAUUCUUUCACCUUGUCUAUAUUUCUUUUCUAAAUUUUUUUAAUUCCUUGAAUAACUCCAUCUUAGUCAUCUUCCCUUUUAUGCAUGGAUGGAUGAAUAUGAUAAUUAAGUUAAUAUGUUUUCUACUGGAAAUGUAAAAUUUCAAACUCUAUGCUUUGGCUAGUGUACAUUGACAAUGUUAUAAUAAAGGUGCACAAGUGAGUGCUUCCCAAGUAUUAUGCAAUGGAACACUCAAAGCACUUCGAAAAUUAAUGGGGAAGGGUAGAAAACAUUGAGGUUGUCACUCACAACUACCAUGAGUCCAUAAAACCCCUGGUCACUUUAUGAAUUUUUAUUGUUAUUUCAGAUAUCUUUCAUAUGUGAACUCAAAAAUUGAACAAUUAGUUCACUC